This 253-nucleotide ribosomal RNA is filed under the name uncultured bacterium. RNAcentral's name for it is "partial 16S ribosomal RNA". It matches the Rfam family "Bacterial small subunit ribosomal RNA", at positions 524 to 776 of the family's 1533-position model. The record is from RNAcentral.
UACGUAGGGGGCUAGCGUUGUCCGGAAUCAUUGGGCGUAAAGCGCGUGUAGGCGGUCCGGUAAGUCCGCUGUGAAAGUCGGGGGCUCAACCCUCGAAUGCCGGUGGAUACUGUCGGGCUAGAGUGCGGAAGAGGCGAGUGGAAUUCCUGGUGUAGCGGUGAAAUGCGCAGAUAUCAGGAGGAACACCAAUUGCGAAGGCAGCUCGCUGGGACGUUACUGACGCUGAGACGCGAAAGCGUGGGGAGCGAACAGG